This is an RNA transcript of Sapajus apella (tufted capuchin), 462 nucleotides long. It is a transcript of the gene named 60S ribosomal protein L19 pseudogene, with no coding region annotated. The transcript has a single exon. NCBI's taxonomy places the organism in Eukaryota, Metazoa, Chordata, Mammalia, Primates, Cebidae. The record is from RefSeq and is a predicted model, not a curated record.
CAUCCGCAAGCCUGUGACGGUCCAUUCCCUGGCUCGCUGCCGGAAAAACACCUUGGCCCGCCGGAAGGACAGGCACAUGGACAUAGGUAAGCAUAAGGGUACAGCCAACGCCCAAAUGCCAGAGAAGGUCACGUGGAUGAGGAGAAUGAGGAUUCUGCGCCGGCUGCUCAGAAGAUAGCGGGAAUCUAAGAACAUUGAUUGCCACAUGUAUCACAACGUGUACCUGAAGGCGAAGGGGAAUGUGUUCAAAAACAAGUGGAUUCUCAUGGAACACAUCCACAAGCUGAAGGCAGACAAGGCCGGCAAGAAGCUCCUGGUUGACCAGGCAGAGGCCCGUAGGUCUAAAACCAAGGAAGCACACAAGCGCCGUGAAGAGCGCCUUCAGGCCAAAAAGGAGGAAAUCAUCAAGACUUUGUCCAAGGAGGAAGAGACCAAGAAAUAAAAGCUCCCGCUUUGUUUGUA